This 588-nucleotide ribosomal RNA is filed under the name Triticum aestivum (bread wheat). RNAcentral's name for it is "partial small subunit ribosomal RNA". Lineage: Eukaryota; Viridiplantae; Streptophyta; Magnoliopsida; Poales; Poaceae. The record is from RNAcentral.
AUGGCGGCGGCCACCUCCUCGUCGGCGGUGGCGGUAUCUACGCCGCAGGGAGUGGCGGAGCGGCGGGGAAUCCCGGCGGCGUCCUUCGUCGAGGAUGUCGAGACCUACCUCCGGCAGGCCGGGCUCGAGGUCAACUCCGCCCUCGCCUUCCUCCAAGAAAGGCUGCAGCAGUACAAAAUGGUGGAGAUGAAACUUUUAGCACAACAAAGAGAACUUCAGGCGAAAAUUCCUGAUAUAGAAAAAUGCUUGGAUAUUGUUGCGACAUUGAAAGCUAAAAAAGCUUUGGGCGAGGCACUCAUAGCUGAUUUUGAAUUAUCUGAGGGAAUCUAUUCGCGUGCUAAAAUCGAGGACUCUGACUCAGUGUGCCUAUGGUUGGGUGCAAAUGUGAUGCUGGAAUACUCCUGUGACGAGGCCAAUGAGCUCUUGAAAAGUAACUUGGAAAAUGCGAGGGCCAGUUUAGAAGUCCUUGUUGGCGAUCUUCAUUUCUUACGGGACCAGCAAACGAUAACUCAGGUUACAAUUGCUCGGAUAUUUAACUGGGACGUGCACCAGCGGAGAAGCAAGCAGUCUGUUAUGAAAGAAACAUGA